ACUCCUCGGGAGGCAGCAGUGGGGAAUAUUGCACAAUGGGCGCAAGCCUGAUGCAGCCAUGCCGCGUGUGUGAAGAAGGCCUUCGGGUUGUAAAGCACUUUCAGUUGUGAGGAAGGUGGUGUCGUUAAUAGCGGCAUCAUUUGACGUUAGCAACAGAAGAAGCACCGGCUAACUCCGUGCCAGCAGCCGCGGUAAUACGGAGGGUGCGAGCGUUAAUCGGAAUUACUGGGCGUAAAGCGCAUGCAGGUGGUUUGUUAAGUCAGAUGUGAAAGCCCGGGGCUCAACCUCGGAACUGCAUUUGAAACUGGCAGACUAGAGUACUGUAGAGGGGGGUAGAAUUUCAGGUGUAGCGGUGAAAUGCGUAGAGAUCUGAAGGAAUACCGGUGGCGAAGGCGGCCCCCUGGACAGAUACUGACACUCAGAUGCGAAAGCGUGGGGAGCAAACAGGAUUAGAUACCCUGGUAGCACAGAG
This 472-nucleotide ribosomal RNA is filed under the name uncultured bacterium. RNAcentral describes it as "bacterial SSU rRNA". It matches the Rfam family "Bacterial small subunit ribosomal RNA", at positions 335 to 799 of the family's 1533-position model. The record is from RNAcentral.